RNAcentral lists this transfer RNA (54 nucleotides) under Cautires sp. UPOL A00025. Its description in RNAcentral is "partial tRNA-Ser". RNAcentral also lists the same sequence under 4 other names. Lineage: Eukaryota; Metazoa; Arthropoda; Insecta; Coleoptera; Lycidae. The record is from RNAcentral.
AAAGAAAUAUCUUUAAAAAGCUUCUAACUUUUUUUCAAGCAUUCAUAUGUUUAU